Gymnothorax javanicus (giant moray) is the source of this 75-nucleotide non-coding RNA. Lineage: Eukaryota; Metazoa; Chordata; Actinopteri; Anguilliformes; Muraenidae. The record is from the annotation of a GenBank genome assembly.
GCAGCACGGUGGCACAGUGGUUAGCGCUGUUGCCUCACACCAAGAAGGUCGUGGGUUUGAUUCUGGCCUGGGGCU